Long non-coding RNA from Hypanus sabinus (Atlantic stingray), 2869 nucleotides. RefSeq lists it as uncharacterized. The transcript is spliced from 3 exons. Lineage: Eukaryota; Metazoa; Chordata; Chondrichthyes; Myliobatiformes; Dasyatidae. The record is from RefSeq and is a predicted model, not a curated record.
AUUGCGCAUGCGUUCAGUAGACGGGCGCUCUCAAGGCUUGGCCGCAGCCUGUCGGAUUGCACAGAGAACCGGUGAGGGCUUCAGAGAUCCAUCGACAGCUACUGCAGAGCAUCUCCCGUCUCCCAGCAACAGGGGACCGGUCUGGGAGGCAGCUUCAGACAACAGACUCCGAUCCACGGCGGGAAAACGCCAGGCACCCUCCGUGUAGCUGAAACGUCACGUGAAAUCUCGGCCAGUCUCUUCACCUCUGCCAUCUGAAGGAAUUAAGACCCCAGCCGGUGUUGCAGACUUUAUCGGAAGUAUUGCUCCCGAUCUCCGACUUCUCAGUGCCUCCAGUCGCUUCCGGUUCUAAAGUUUGGUCCGUUUUGAGCGCUCAGCGUCCCGCCCACUGACACGCUCCACCAAUGAGAGCAUGUUUGUUCCCGUGGUGCUCUCUGAGACAGGCUGCGGCCGGGAGCUGGAGAUGUCAGUCUCAGUUUGUUCUCAGAAUCAAGGGGAGUUCCCGAAGCACAAAGUUUAAAGUAAAUUUUAUUAUUGGAGUACAAAUAAUUCUCAGCAUACAACACCCAGAUUCAUUUUCCUGCCCACAUACAAAAAAAAUUCUGUAGAGUAGUAAUUAUAACAGCAUCAAGGAAAGAUCAACUAGAGUGCAGAAGACAACAAACUGUGCAAAUGCAAAUAUAAAUAAAUAGCAAUAAAUAGCGAGAACAUGAAACAAACGCAGCAGCUGCUGAUGGAUCUCUGGAGCUCUGACCACUCCCCUGUGCAAUCCGACAGGCUGCAGGCCAAGGGAGAACAAGGUGCAAAGAUACCACAAUUCCUUCCCACAGACAUCAGUAUAAUUCUAAUUCCCUGACACUGCUGCACGCGUAGUGGACAAUCGUGGUACUGCAGGGAUCAGCAGCUCCCUGAAAGUGAAAGCAUUCUGAAUCAGGAAGCGCCAGGAGUUAACAUGGUUUCGGAAGGACCGGCCGAGAGUUGGACUGAGGAGGCAAUUGGUCCCACCUGCUUGGAUUUCUUCACCGAUCCGGUAUCACUGGAGUGCAGGCACAACUUCUGUCGCUCUUGUAUCACACAGUGUUGGGAAAGGGAGGAGAGAAACUCCAGCCCGGAAUGUAGAGAGGUGUUUGCUGACCGCACCCUCAGGGUCAAUCGGGCCUUAGCAAAUCUGGUUGAAAAAGUUCGAAAUCUAAGCCUGAAUCUGAAAGGUAAGGAAAGUAAACAUCGCUGCGAGGAACAUGAGGAAGAACUGAAGCUGUUUUGUGAAACGGACAAGAUACUGGUCUGUCUGAUCUGUAGAGAGGUGCAGGAACACAGAGCACCGUUUUGUGAUGAUUAACGAAGUCGUUAAAAUAUACAUGGUAAAACUAACGUUAAUUUGAUACUCAACCCUUUUUCUCUUGUCCUACAUACCAUCACAUGACUCUAAAACAAACACAUUAUUCUCUGCAACUUCCGCCAUCUCCAAUGGGAUUCUACCAUCUCUCCAUCCUACAGCCCACAACUCUCUGCUCUUUGUAGGGAUCGCUCCUCGUACUGUAUCGCCCUUAUCCACUUGCUCCUCCCGACUGAUCUCCCUCCUUGCACUGACACCUGCAAACGGGAUAAGUGCUACACCUGACUCCUACAUCUCUUCCCGCGGCACCGAACAGUCCCAGUUCCUCCCGUUUCUUCCGUGGUUGAUUGCCCUGUUGUAUCAGAAUCCUCUUUCAGCUCGUUUCCUCUUCCACCUGUCCCCUGUCAGCUUCUUACUUCAUCACCUCCCCCACAUUCCCCCUCAUGUUGUAUCAGCCGUCACCUGUCAGUUGGUUCUCAUCCCCAAACUUUUUAUUCUGACAUCUGUCCCGGGUGUAAUGAAGGGUCUCAUCUUGGAACACCGACUGAAUAUUUCCCCUGCACAGAAGCUGCCUGACUCACUGAGUUCCUCCGGCAUUUUGUGGCGAUAAUCGGGUUUGAUCACCUUCUUCUUUUGUUGCAUCUUUGUUUCUAUUUCCCUCACUCUCUGACUUCCAGGAUCAGAUAAUAUCUUCCUUAGACUCUCCGACAGAAAAGAAAUCAGACUUCCAGGAAAAGGAGCAACACCCAAAAGAGAAGAUUUACGGAGUGAGGGUUCCUGAGAAGAAUUUCUGAUAUUAGUGUAUCGUUUUGCUCCCUUUAAUGCAGAAAAGCAGAGUAUUGCUGCUCCAGUGACCUGGGUUUGAUCCUGACAUCUGGUGCUGUCUGUGUGGAGUUUGCAUGCUCUCCCUGGGAGAACAACAGUUUCAGACCAUCCCAAGAAUGUGCCGUAUGAAUGGUUAAUUACAAUUAACCCUGUGAAUGUGGGGGAGGAUGUAUGUGAAUCAUCCUACCCUACACACAUAAUGUGAAUCAGGUGGGAGUUAAUGGGUCAAUGAGGGAGAAUAAGUUUCAGGAAAACAUGAGGGAAUGGGGUGGACAGGAUUGUUUCAGAGCUAGCAUGUGCUUCAAUGGACCGAACACAGCACUUCAGUAAACACAUCUUCACCUCUCAUUUGACAGGAACAGUCACACAGCGUUCAGACCCACAUCACAUCCCAGUUUGCUGAACUGCGUCAGAUUUUCACUGAGAAAGAGCAGAGCUUACUCAGGGAUCUCAGGGAGAAAGAGGAGAUGAUUCUAAAUCCAAUGGUGAAAAAUCUUCAAGAGAUUCAAGAGAAUACAAGGUUAAUUCAGGAGGAAAUCUCAAAGUUAAAGGAACAGAUGGAUCAAUAAGACGAGUGUGAUAUUUCUCAAGGUGAGGGAUUAUAUUUUGAUUUGAUUCUGUCAAAGGUCACUAAACAAACUCGUAUAUUUGAAAUAAACACAGCACAACGGCCAAUUCUAACAAAUUGUCGUUGCUGGCGAACUUGCA